GCUGGGUGCGGUGGUGCGCACCUGUAGUCCCAGCUACUUGGGAGGCUGAGGCAGGAUAAUCACUUGAACCCGGGAGGCAGAGGUUGCAGUGAGCCGAGAUCACGCCACUGCACUCUAGCCUGGGUGACAGGGUGAGACUCUGUCUCAA
RNAcentral lists this signal recognition particle RNA (148 nucleotides) under Pan paniscus (pygmy chimpanzee). RNAcentral's name for it is "Metazoan signal recognition particle RNA". It matches the Rfam family "Metazoan signal recognition particle RNA". Rfam says of the family: The signal recognition particle (SRP) is a universally conserved ribonucleoprotein. Lineage: Eukaryota; Metazoa; Chordata; Mammalia; Primates; Hominidae. The record is from Rfam by way of RNAcentral. RNAcentral also lists the same sequence under 1 other name.